GAUGAAGAAUGCAGCGAAAUGCGAUAAGUAAUGUGAAUUGCAGAAUUCAGUGAAUCAUCGAAUCUUUGAACGCACAUCGCGCCCGCCAGUAUUCUGGCGGGCAUGCCUGUUCGAGCGUCAUUACAACCCUCAGGCCCCCGGGCCUGGCGUUGGGGAUCGGCGGAGCCCCCCGUGGGCACACGCCGUCCCCCAAAUACAGUGGCGGUCCCGCCGCAGCUUCCAUCGCGUAGUAGCUAACACCUCGCGACUGGAGAGCGGCGCGGCCACGCCGUAAAACACCCAACUCUUCUGAAGUUGACCUCGAAUCAGGUAGGAAUACCCGCUGAACUUAAGCAUAUCAAUAAGCGGAGGA
RNAcentral lists this unclassified non-coding RNA (352 nucleotides) under soil metagenome. Its description in RNAcentral is "partial contains 5.8S ribosomal RNA, internal transcribed spacer 2, and large subunit ribosomal RNA". The stretch from base 1 to 120 matches the Rfam family "5.8S ribosomal RNA", at positions 35 to 154 of the family's 154-position model. The record is from RNAcentral.